This 484-nucleotide ribosomal RNA is filed under the name uncultured bacterium. Its description in RNAcentral is "partial 16S ribosomal RNA". It matches the Rfam family "Bacterial small subunit ribosomal RNA", at positions 29 to 507 of the family's 1533-position model. The record is from RNAcentral.
AUUGAACGCUGGCGGCAUGCUUUACACAUGCAAGUCGAACGGAAGCGCGGGCUUCGGCCUGGCGGCGAGUGGCGAACGGGUGAGUAAUGCAUCGGAAGGUGCCCAGUAGUGGGGGAUAGCACGGCGAAAGCAGGAUUAAUACCGCAUACGACCUGAGGGUGAAAGCGGGGGACCGAAAGGGCUCGCGCGAUUGGAGGGGACGAUGUCGGAUUAGCUAGUUGGUGGGGUAAAGGCUUACUAAGGCGACGAUCCGUAGCUGGUCUGAGAGGACGACCAGCCACACUGGGACUGAGACACGGCCCAGACUCCUACGGGAGGCAGCAGUGGGGAAUUUUGGACAAUGGGGGCAACCCUGAUCCAGCCAUGCCGCGUGCGGGAAGAAGGCCUUCGGAUUGUAAACCGCUUUUGUUCGGGAAGAAAUCCUCUGGGCUAAUACCCCGGGGGGAUGACGGUACCGGAAGAAUAAGCACCGGCUAACUACGUG